Molecule: transfer RNA, 74 nt
Filed under: Bacteroidales bacterium
Lineage: Bacteria; Pseudomonadati; Bacteroidota; Bacteroidia; Bacteroidales
Also listed under: 1 other name
Description: tRNA-Asp
Rfam family: tRNA
About the family: Transfer RNA (tRNA) molecules are approximately 80 nucleotides in length.
Source: RNAcentral
GGUGCGUUAGUUCAGUUGGUUAGAAUAUCGCCCUGUCACGGCGGAGGUCACGGGUUCGAGUCCCGUACGCACCG